Oryctolagus cuniculus (rabbit) is the source of this 402-nucleotide non-coding RNA. NCBI's taxonomy places the organism in Eukaryota, Metazoa, Chordata, Mammalia, Lagomorpha, Leporidae. The record is from RefSeq and is a predicted model, not a curated record.
UACAAGUAUUUUCAGUCAUCUUGAGUAUGAGCUAGGAAUGGAGUAGCUGAGUCCGACAGUAACUCUUCAUAUCUCCAUUUGGGGACAACUGCUUGAACACUACAGUGGCUGCACCAUUUCACACUCUCACCAUCAAUGGGUUUCAUUUUAGAAUUCAUGAGGUGCAAAACUAAAUGAGAGGUGUGGAGGCUCAUUUUCUGUCAUGGUCAUUGGAUGUUUAGAGCAUCAUUUGCUGUGUUUGUCGUCUGCCCAGGAUGUUCCCACCACCAGGGAAAUACAGAAGACUUUCCAGGUCAUCAGUUUUAGUUGGCCUACGGUUGUCUGGGCUGCUUGAGAUCCCCAGCCCGCUGUGCUGUGCCAGGUGCGAGGCUGCCCUGUCCUGGACCUGGGAGACAAGCAGAG